This 254-nucleotide ribosomal RNA is filed under the name uncultured bacterium. RNAcentral describes it as "partial 16S ribosomal RNA". It matches the Rfam family "Bacterial small subunit ribosomal RNA", at positions 524 to 776 of the family's 1533-position model. The record is from RNAcentral.
UACGAAGGGGGCUAGCGUUGCUCGGAAUCACUGGGCGUAAAGCGCACGUAGGCGGAUUGUUAAGUCGGGGGUGAAAUCCUGGAGCUCAACUCCAGAACUGCCUUCGAUACUGGCGAUCUUGAGUCCGGGAGAGGUGAGUGGAACUCCGAGUGUAGAGGUGAAAUUCGUAGAUAUUCGGAAGGAACACCAGUGGCGAAGGCGGCUCACUGGCCCGGUACUGACGCUGAGGUGCGAAAGCGUGGGGAGCAAACAGG